This 497-nucleotide ribosomal RNA is filed under the name uncultured bacterium. RNAcentral's name for it is "partial 16S ribosomal RNA". It matches the Rfam family "Bacterial small subunit ribosomal RNA", at positions 28 to 507 of the family's 1533-position model. The record is from RNAcentral.
GAUGAACGCUGGCGGCGUGCCUAAUACAUGCAAGUCGAGCGAACAGAUGAGGAGCUUGCUCCUCUGACGUUAGCGGCGGACGGGUGAGUAACACGUGGAUAACCUACCUAUAAGACUGGGAUAACUUCGGGAAACCGGAGCUAAUACCGGAUAAUAUAUUGAACCGCAUGGUUCAAUAGUGAAAGACGGUUUUGCUGUCACUUAUAGAUGGAUCCGCGCCGCAUUAGCUAGUUGGUAAGGUAACGGCUUACCAAGGCAACGAUGCGUAGCCGACCUGAGAGGGUGAUCGGCCACACUGGAACUGAGACACGGUCCAAACUCCUAAGGGAGGCAGCAGUAGGGAAUCUUCCGCAAUGGGCGAAAGCCUGACGGAGCAACGCCGCGUGAGUGAUGAAGGUCUUCGGAUCGUAAAACUCUGUUAUGAGGGAAGAACAAAUGUGUAAGUAACUAUGCACGUCUUGACGGUACCUAAUCAGAAAGCCACGGCUAACUACGUG